GGGUGUGUGCUGAGCAGAGUAACACAGUGGCUUAAAGCAUAGGUAUGGAGGAAGAUAGACUGGGAAAUCCCAAGGCCUCUACUUGGAUUUUGAGUAAGGUGCUGAACUACCAGGAGCCUCAGAGUCCUUGCAAGAUGAUAGAAACAAUAGUGUCUAUGCUUGUAGAUUGGCUAUGAGGAUAGAUGGAUAAAAGCAUAAGCCUCAGCACAGUAACUACAGCCUGACUCUGUGCUAGCUUCAUCAUCAUCAUCAUCAUCAUCACCAUCAGCAUCACCAUCAGCAUCAGCAUCAUCACCACCCACAGACAGAAGUACCAGGCAAAUGCACUGAAAAACUCUUAACAAUUAUCCAGGAAGACAAGGUUUUCGUCCCUUCUGCAUGAACCUCAUCAAUGGAGACUGUCAUUAGCAGCCUUUUUUUUUAAAGAGCUAAUUUACACUAAUAUGGAAAUGUAGCCUCAGCCCUGGCUGACCUGAAACUCAUGCCACAGACCAGAUCUCAGCAGAAUGAACCUCGGAGACGACCUAACAUCAUCCUGAAACACAGCUUGAACGAAUCGAGCAGCCAGCUGAGGCUUCGUGGUUGCUGUGUAAAAACGGGUGGUCACCCUGAUCCCUCUGGUACCCCUGACUUGACCUGGGCAAGCAGAAGAAAUGAGCCCAUGAAGACGAUCUUACACCCCCUUUCUCACAGAUGUUAGACACUUUAGGAAGGAGUUUUGAACACGACCAAGGCUUUUCAGUUUUGAUGAGGUGGUGAAAUUAGUUAAAAAGCCACAGGGAACCACAGAACACAGCUAUGCAGUGUGACCGUCACAGCUGACUCUAUAGCCCACCAUAGGGGAGGGAAGCAAGCAUGAUGUUCAGUUACGAGUUCAGUAACUGUAAGGGAUGCACAAAAGCUUUUUAAAAAGUUUCACUAGUAAGGCAAGAGCUUAACUACACUCGUUAGGAGACAGCCAUUAGUACCAACAAACAUGUCCACAUGUGUAUGUUUCUAUAUAAAACAAAGCAAACCAGCUGGGAGGUGGUGGCACAUGCAUUUAAUCCCAGCACUCGGGAGGCGUAGGCAGACGGAUCCCUGUGAGUUCAAGGCCAGCCUGGUCUACAAAAACUAGUUCCAGGACAGACGUCAAAACUACAGAGAAACCUGGUCUCAAAAGAUAAAAUAAUAAUAAUAAUAAUAAAGACAAAGCAAACCUAUCUAUCAGAUACACAUCUGUUAAAGGGUUCCACACGUUAUUAGUAACUCAUUCUUUUUUUUUUUUUGAGACAGAUUUCAAACUCAUUAUGUAGCUGAAACUGGCCCUAAACCCCCAAAUUUGUUCAUUCUGCCCCCACCUCCAAAAUUUGGAGAUUACAGGUGUACAACAUCACAUCUGUCAUUAGCUGACUUUCUAAACAAAUGUUUGAGUCCCCAAGUGUCUAGUUUUCACCAGUAGAUAAGCCAUAAGGAACACUUCCAGACUUUCUACACCCCCGCUCCCAUACUGCCUGGUUCAGGGGUAGCACAGCCCCUGGAGUCUGGACCUGAACAGCGUUUAGGCUCAGGGAAUUAGUGGCGGGAAGCAGGAGAGUACUCACCUUGGUAGUUACAGGCUGCCUGGUCUGGUGUACCUCGACUGCUGCUCCUUCUGCUGUUGCAGUUGCUCCUAGAGCUUAUAUACUCUACUCCUACAGAACUUUCUGAUGGAAACCCAAACUAGAAACUGACUAGUCCCAGUUGCAACAUUGAAAACUAGUGUCAAAACAUUUUGGGGAAUUUUAGGAAGCUCCUCCCCCUCCCCCACCCUCCCUGUGUCUCGGUGUGCAUCCAUCACACGGAGGGAAUACAGACAUCAGAAUCCCAGGUAAGAGGAAAUGACUUCGGGGUGUGGAAAAAGGAAGAAGACAGAUGCUGAUUUCUGUUUACAUCAUGCCCAAGGUGAAUAGAGGCAGCAAUAGCCAACCUCCCCAGGAUUCCACAGGCUGGGGAAAAAGGAAGGUCAUGUCCCCAGCUGAGUUCAUGGUUCAUGCCACAAUCUAACGAGGUGCUACGGGUCCUAAAGAAUAAUCUACAAUUCUGGAGUCAAGGCAGCCCCAGGGAGAUGGGCAACUAAGAUUCAUUGUGUUUUGAGGCAUCUUCUCUGCUCAUAGGACCUUACUCAUGGAACAAUGAGAACAGGAGCUGAACUAGCACAGAUAUUCUACAAGGCCACAAGGUUCCAGGAUGAUGUCAACCAACAUCCACCGACCUGCUUCCUCUGAAGAGAUCUGGACCACAUGCAGAUCCAGACCCAAUGGUACCCAGUGUUCUUCCUGUGGGAGAAGGAGGUCUGGCGACACAGAGCAAGCAUGCCAAGCUGUUAGGCCAAUAGCACAGAGGUUAAGCCGUGGCAUGGAACCCCUCCCCCUGCCUUGCAGCUGAGAAUCACUGGAAGAAUAUUUGGACCAAAAAAAUCAUCUUCCCUUACCAGAAGAUGGCUAUAUGCUUCUAGUAUGCAUUUCAAAUACAGUAUAAGUCAUGUAUGCUGUAAAACAUUAGCGUUUAGACAAUGCAGAGCAAGACGUGCAUCCACGCUGUUCUCAAAAAUCCAAAACACACCUUGAAUAAGAAGCUGAAACUUUUGAUUUAGAGAUUUCUAGCAGUAGACAUUGUCAAGCUUUUGGUGUGUUCCUCUAGAGUCAGCCCAACCCCUUGUAUAUAUUUAUGUAUUUGGCUGUCUAAGCCGGAUCUUGUUACAGGCAUGAUCCUAAAAAUUCCCUUCAUGUAUUGGGUGAGAGCUGGACAGGCUUGAGUUAGAUCAUGAUCCAAGUUUCAAAUGUAGUGCCAAGAGUUUUCUUGAAUGCAGACCUUCCUCAUGUUAGUCAAGAACUUUACUACAGUUAUAUCCACAGCCCUGCAGCAGUCUAUAGUGAAGCCAUGGCUAAUAGUCUCUUAAUAGUUGACUAGAUAGAUCCCACAUCUGGAUCAGCUAGAGACUUGGGCCUUAGUCUUUCAACUAGAUUCCCUCUACACAUAGCUUUGUGGUUCUAGGUAACAGGCUAUCCAGGAUGGAGUUCAGGGAGUGGUGUGUGUGUGUUAUAUAUAAUAUAUGUGUGUGUGUAUAUGUGUAAUGUGUGUGUGUGUAUAGAUAGACAGAUGACAGAUAGAAUAUCAGAGACCUGUGCAUCUCUCUUAAGAGCAAAGCUGUCUUAGAAGCCCCAAUAACCUUUCUUCCAGUCCCCUGGCCAACUAUAACCCAGGCUUAUGAGGAGAAUGUGUUUUUAGUGACUGAGAAUUGGGUUCUCUCUUAAGCUGGCCAUAGAGUCCUGAUCCCAGAAGCAUGGGUAUGCCAACUAGGUGGCAAUAGGUGAGCAAUGGGGUGUUAGCUAGGUAAACCUGAUGGUUGGUGCUGACAUCAAAUGAAGAAAUAGGGUGACUGAACAGAGAGAAAUGAGGCUUCCUCCUCAGUCCAUUCACUUACAGGAGAUGUGUCUGUCCUAAGGCUAUGGUUACUCCCGCCUGCCUUCUUACAGAUAUAGAUGCUCUCACAGGGAAAAUAUCAAGAGUAUAUGUGUUAACAUGUGACUGGAUGACUGAAUGAUUCUUGUGAUUUUUUUUAUGGCUUCCUAUUC
Alexandromys fortis (reed vole) is the source of this 3596-nucleotide long non-coding RNA. RefSeq lists it as uncharacterized. The record is from RefSeq and is a predicted model, not a curated record. NCBI's taxonomy places the organism in Eukaryota, Metazoa, Chordata, Mammalia, Rodentia, Cricetidae. The transcript has 5 exons.